RNAcentral lists this ribosomal RNA (418 nucleotides) under uncultured bacterium. RNAcentral describes it as "bacterial SSU rRNA". It matches the Rfam family "Bacterial small subunit ribosomal RNA", at positions 917 to 1333 of the family's 1533-position model. The record is from RNAcentral.
GGACCCGCACAAGUAGUGGAGCAUGUGGUUUAAUUCGAAGAUACGCGCAGAACCUUACCAACACUUGACAUGUUCGUCGCGACUUUAAGAGAUUAAAGUUUUCGGUUCGGCCGGACGAAACACAGGUGCUGCAUGGCUGUCGUCAGCUCGUGUCGUGAGAUGUUGGGUUAAGUCCCGCAACGAGCGCAACCCUUACUUUUAGUUGCCAUCAUUUAGUUGGGCACUCUGGAAGAACUGCCAGUGAUAAGCUGGAGGAAGGUGGGGAUGACGUCAAGUCCUCAUGGCCCUUACGUGUUGGGCUACACACGUGCUACAAUGGUAUCUACAAUAGGAAGCAAGAUGGCGACAUCAAGCAAAUCCUAAAAAGAUGCCUCAGUUCGGAUUGUACUCUGCAACUCGAGUACAUGAAGCUGGAAUU